RNAcentral lists this long non-coding RNA (4995 nucleotides) under Homo sapiens (human). RNAcentral describes it as "non-protein coding lnc-CCSAP-3:9". Lineage: Eukaryota; Metazoa; Chordata; Mammalia; Primates; Hominidae. The record is from RNAcentral.
AGCUGCACUCAGCUCUUAAAUGCAGCUAUUCACAGAGGGCCCAGGCUCUCCCCUGCCCUGUGACACUACGUGGGACACACACCUCCACAGGUGACUAUCAACCCUCACGCAGGCAAAGCCUCUGGAAGCUGUUCUUGUCUUCAUGGACACAGUGUUGCAAAGACGCAAGGGCGUCCAUGCGGUCCUGGGGAAGAGCUGCAGCAAGGCCCGGCAGGGUGGGCAGGCCUGUGGGUCUGUGUUCAGGUGACGGCUGGUCUGAGCAGCGCACUGCCUGGUCUCCUGCUUGGACAGCAGCGAGGGCAAGUAAUGCUGGACUGGGAGUCAGGCUAUUCCACAUCCUUGAAAUCUAGUUAUUUCCAUUAGCUUUGCUUUGUUAAUCAAAAAGUAUCUGAGACAGAUCUCAAUCAAUUUAGAGAUUUAUUUUGCCGAGGUUAAAGAUCAUGGCCCAUGACAUAACCUCAGAAGAUCUUGAGAACCUGUGCCCAAGGUGGUUGGGUUACAGUUUGAUUUUAUAAAUUUUAGGGAGACAGAACAGGCAAAGACAAAAAUCAAUAUGUAUAAGGUAUACAUUGGUUUGGCCUGGAAAGGUGGGACAUCUUGAAGUGGAGGCAUCUGCGUCACAGGUGGAUUUAAAGAUUUCCUGAUUGGCAAUUGGUUGAAAGGGCUAAGCUCUGCCUGAAGAGUUGAAAGCAGCUUGUGGGAAUUUGAAGAAUCUCCAGGAGGGCCAGAGAGUAGACUUGGAUGCCACCCAGCCAGCAAUAGAGAAGUUGGGACCACCCAGCCAGGGACAAGGCCACACCUCAGCCAUCACCACCCACAAGCAACGCAGCAUGUAUGAGCUGGGACAGGACACCAGAAACUACCUCAUGAUUGCUCCGGAAGAAGCAGCUGCAGGUGCUCAGCCAUCUUUAUUUCCUGCCACCCCCAAACUAUGAAGACAGCAAAGCAGCCUGUGGAGAGGCUGCUCACAGAGGCAACCCCACCCUUACUUGGUGAUGGCACGUGGAACUCCACCUCCCAGGUGGAAAAUGGAAAAAUUGUUUCCUUCUCUGAUCUACUGCCUGAGCUGUCAUCAGGAUUUUGAGGACUGACUUAAUGAAUAAAAUAUAAAGGCUUAGCGUGAGCCUGGGAUAUGCAUGGUGGAAGAGAAUAAAUAGCCUUUUGUAUAUCAAAGAUACUUUCUGGGUAACCCAAUCUGAGAAAUAGCUACUUCAGCCACAUCUGCUGUUAGGGAAGGCUGAGAAAAUAGUGACUAUAAAAUGAAAUGAGGCUUGUAGGUGAACCACAUGAAAUCCUGUGAACCGGGGAGAAGUCACCAGCUAUUACAAUGGAGUCUAGCUAAGAAGGGGCACGUGGGGGUGGGGAGAUCGUGACCAAUCAACAGUGCAGCUUGAAAAUGUGGGUUUUCUCUUGGGAAGCUUCAUUCCCUGGGAAGGAAGAAGCUAUAACGAAACAGGAGCAAUGAAGCUUUGCCUGGAGAGGAUGCUGCUCACAUUUGCAUGUUAAAUGAACUGAGGCCUCUCCUGGCUCCCCUUGGAGGGCUCUCAGAGGCAGCUCUAGCCUCAGAGGGUCUCUUGCCCACAUCUUACUCUGGUUCAGAGCCCACAUCCCCAAAGAGAGCCUUGUACACAGCAGGUAUUCAAUCAAUAUUUGUAUUAAAUUGCAUUUUAAAAGCUGAUUACUUGAGUGACCCCUUCCCCUACCCACCCCCAAAGACUGUCCUCCAGUAUCUCUUUGUGCAUAUCCUGAAUUCAAGCUGCAGUGAGAGGCUUUAGCAAGAGAGAGAAAACCCACUCUAAAAGCUUCAUUUGCGACAAUUUCCAUUUUAUUUCUCACCACCACCAGCCUUUGGACGAACAGGUCCUAAAGAGCUAUGGAAACAGCAUCGUGGAAACAGCACGAGUCUCAUGCUGUCAUCCAGGCUGGAGUGCAGUGGUGUGAUCAUAGUUCACUGCAGCCUCAACCUCCUGGGCUCAAGCAAUCCUCCCACCUCAGGUUCUUGAGUAGCUGAGCCCAAUACCAUGCCUAGCUAAUUCUAGUAGCUUCUGAUAAAUUCUCUCUGUUUACUCAAGAUACAGUUAUUGAAUGACUGGUCUGGGCCAAGCAUUAUUCUCGGCGCUGGGGAUGCAGCAGGGGGCCUGGAUCAUACUCAAGGUCACUAGAUACUUGUUACAUGAGUGAAUGAAGUCAUUCAGUACUCAUUGGCUCCACUGGGCUCUGACUUGCUGGGCAUGACAAGCCCACCAGGGAGCCCUGGAUAUCCCUCCUCUUUCCAAGCAGCUGGGGAAGCUGGUUGCCCUGGAAACCUGUUUUAGGUGGCAGCAUCUUCCUCCAGGAGGUCGAGGUGUCUCCUGGACCUUAGAGACUCCAGGACACAGGACAGAGCUCUGAACUGUGGAGCCGGGAAACCUGGUUCCAGUCUCAGCCCAGAUUUACCAGCCGUAGACUUGGCCAAGUCACUCACAAAACCCAAAGGGUGAGGCAGAGCUGGCCCUGCCUGCAUGGCAGGGAGAUUUUGAGAAGCAUGAAGAGAGUCAGGAAGUGCCUGGGGAUCGAAUCCACCCAGCAGUGCAAGGCAUUGCUCUCCCAAUUCUCCAUUGGGAAAAAAAAAUCCAGACAAAGACAGUACAGAGAAUAUGGUAGCCAAUACUGCAGCAGUCACCACCCGGAAAAACAGACACUAAUAUAAUAACUUGUGAUUUUUGCUUCAUAUCUCUGUGGCAUAAAACCAUGACACAUAAAGUUUAUGUCCCCCUUUAACCAUUCCUCAAUGCUAUUCCCCUCCUCUCUCCCCCUCCUCAACGGCAACCACUGAUAUGUUCGCUCUAUUCUGUGCUUUUCAUAUUUUAAAUAUAUUGUUUAUGGGAAUGAUCAUAUAUAAGAAAUAUAUUAUACUGUUUGUUUUAAAAGUUUGCAUAAAUAAUAUCAAAGUAAAUUAUUUAAGUGUCCCCAGCAGUCCCUGUCCCCGUCCACCUUUCCCUCAGUUCUCUUCCAUCACAGUAAAGAAAACUGCCCAAACCUGGUCACCGCCCCUGGACUUUCGAAGUGGCUUCCUACUUGGGGUCCUGCUUCCAACAUUGGCCCUGUGAGUGACAAGGAUCUCAUUCCUUUUGUGCUCAAAGCUCUGGCCUCUCUCUCCCUCCUUGGCCUUGCCCAGCCCAGCCCCACCCCUGUCCUCAGAACCUCACACCUGUCGUUCCCCACCUGGGGUGCCCUUCCCGCUGGCUGGCCCCUCACCUCUCUCAGAUUUCUGCUCUAAUGACAGUAACUGGAGAGGCCUUGCCUGAAGUCCCCUCCUCUUUCUCCUUACCUUGCUUUUUGGUUAUGCAUCCUCCUCCUAAUUGCUUUAUUUAUUUAUGUGUUUAAUCACCAUCCUCUUACUUUUCUAAGGCUCGUCCUGAUUUUUUUCACAUCCUGGUAUCUGAGCCGGCAGUGAUUCUAUACCUGGCAGCAGCCUGUGCGGCAGAGCUGUGUGUAAAGGGGUCCAUGCAGAGCCCUGGGAGAAAGAAAAAUGAAGGGGAAAAGGUUGACCUGAGCUUUUUCACCUGGGGCUGGAAAGUGGACCAGAGCCUAUCAUUCCAACCUGCAGGUGCCUAAGGCCCAACAGAAAGUUCACCAGGAAAGACCAAGAGAAUUGGGGUGACCCUCCCACAGUAUCAGAGGGAAGGGGAGUGGGGAGGAGUACAGCAGUGCAGACCAGCCCCACAGGUGCUUAGCCAGGCCUUUGGUUCUGCCAGGGAAAGGAGGGUGCCUUCCACAGCAUGAAAACUACACCACGUCCCAAUGUGUCCGGGACCUGCCGCCAGCCGCCUGCACAGUAGUCAGGUGGAUGCCACCGGGAUACAGCCCACACUGACUCCUGACCCCAGGGGGUACAGCCCACGCUGACUCCUGACCCCAGGGGGUACAGCCCACGCUGACUCCUGACCCCAGGGGGUACAGCCCACAUUGACUCCUGACCCCGGGGGUUACAGCCCACACUGACUCCGGACCCCGGCGUGGGAGGGGCUGGCCCGAGAUGAAAUCUCGAAGGUGGGUCAGGCUAGGUCCUGGAGUCAGGGGAAGCGUGGGGUUCAGGCCAGGCCUGGGUUCUCCCUGAAGUGAGGCUGACUCUGAGCCUUUCUUGAAACCCCAAAUGUCACAGCAGUGCCCCGAAGGUAGGUGAGGCUCUGUUGCAGGGAAUGCUGAGGAAAAAGGGAACAUCAGGGAUUGGUCUGGCCUGAAGCCUGCACUCCCCUAAAUUAUACCCUGGUAUGAUUUGGGCUUGCCCUGGAGUUACCUCAACUAACCUGGGGUCCUUGGGGGAAACAGAGAUGGACAGGGUUGAUGUAUAUUUCGGGUUGAUUUGGACUCUAAGGAUUAUCCCAGCUCAGACCUCGCUCUCAAGGAAUAGGAGCCUGGCAUCUGUCUAUCACCCCCUUGGCCCUGGGUAUAGUCUGGAUGAGCAGAGGCACGCGUGUGGCCCCAAGAGUCCCACCCUCUGGCUCUCUCCUCCCAAGACAUUCUGGAGCCAUGACAUGUCUCCCAGGAAGGGAGAAUUAUUUUUGUCUGUGGCAUAAAUAAAGCCAGGAAUGAGUUCCAAUAAUCACAAGCACAUGCCAGCAUGUGGAGGCUACUCUGACAGCAGCAGAAGGUUCCAGCACUGCCUGCCCUGCUGGUCCUGGCUGCAGGGAGGUGACCGGGAUGGUCAGGGGUCGGGAGCAGGAGGGAGCCUCCAGGAUUUUAUUUAAAAUGAUCAGGUUUUUCAAACAAAUGGAAAAAUAAAAAAAUCUUGAAAACAAAUCUUUUAAAAAUUUACCCACUUCACUCCAGAUCUUAAGAAAUAAAAAUAAAACAUGACUAUUCCUCUAGAAUCCUGACCCAUACCAUACAACUCUCUUCCCAGAGGUCAUUGCCAACAUCGAUUUCUAUUUAUUUUUCUCAUGCUUGCUUUAAUAUUUCUACUAUAUAUGUAUGCAUCUAUAAAUAAACUCUAUGUGACAUUGUUUUGUGUUU